UACGAACUGUGCAAACGUUAUUCGGAAUCACUGGGCUUACAGGGUGCGUAGGCGGCUUGUCAAGUAGGGUGUGAAAGCCCCCGGCUCAACCGGGGAAUUGCGCCCUAAACUGGCGAGCUGGAGUGAGAUAGGGGUGUGUGGAACUUCCGGUGGAGCGGUGAAAUGUGUUGAUAUCGGAAGGAACGCCGGUGGCGAAAGCGACACACUGGAUCUUGUCUGACGCUGAGGCACGAAAGCCAGGGGAGCGAACGGG
RNAcentral lists this ribosomal RNA (253 nucleotides) under uncultured bacterium. Its description in RNAcentral is "partial 16S ribosomal RNA". It matches the Rfam family "Bacterial small subunit ribosomal RNA", at positions 524 to 776 of the family's 1533-position model. The record is from RNAcentral.